CCCUGCUGGUCACAGACAGUGCAGGGCUGGGCUUGGCAGGGAUGGGAAGUCAGAAAGGUAGGGAAAGCCUCAUAGUGAAUAUGGGCCUUCCUUUAGGCUUUGAGGGAUGAGCCACCCUGGGUUGGGAAGAAAGAGAAAGGAGCAGGAAUGAUGUUCCAGGGAGGGCGAACAGCCUGGAUAAAGAUCUAGAGGUGGUCCAGUCUGAGUAAGAAGAAGAAACCAGGAAAAGGAUUCCUGGUUUCUGGAGCGCUUUACAGACUUCAGCCUCCUGCCACAGCACUGAGACAGCAUCUAUGACCAUGGCCACUUUAUGGUAUGACCAACUGGGACCCUGGUCCACCACCAGAGAGUGAAGUCUCCAGCAGUGGACAUCCCUCAUUAACUUCCUGGGCCUUCUACAGCCUCAAACAUCCAGCCCCUGAGUGAGGGUGGACUAUCCCAGUUAAAUAUAUGAGUUUUUAAAGACAGAGGAGCAAGGAAGACUGCUUGUUAACCACUGAGACCUGACCCAUUCCUCUGCUUUCCACACAUUAGGCCAACCCCUAUACUAUUUAAUUAUUCAAUAAAAUGAACCAAUAAAAGUAUAAUAACUAGA
This is a long non-coding RNA of Neofelis nebulosa (Clouded leopard), 595 nucleotides long. RefSeq lists it as uncharacterized. The record is from RefSeq and is a predicted model, not a curated record. NCBI's taxonomy places the organism in Eukaryota, Metazoa, Chordata, Mammalia, Carnivora, Felidae. The transcript is spliced from 3 exons.